GCCUACCCAGGAAACACUAAGUUUGAGUCGCUAACUGAGCAUACCAUCACACCGCCACACAAGAAUGUGGCCCUCUAGGGCGGCAUCAACACUGCAGCCAGAGACCCUAAGGAAAGGAAGAUCUUUCCUUGCAGGGUGUUUUCAGCCUCGUCAGACUCGCAACAGCCCCCGCCGCUGCAAGGCCGGCGCUGCGACACCUCCUCCAAGCCUCCCGGGGGAGGGCGGGAUGACAGCGCCUGAGGGGCCCACUCGGGCUCAUCUUCCGGAAGAUUCCUACGGUCGGGGUCCGAGGGACGACCCUGCGCACAGAGCCCCGCAGAUCCGGGGCCAGACGGCGGAAGGGGCGCUCCCGCCUGGAGGUCUGGCCUACAGAGAAGAGCGAUCACAGAGCCCUUCAUGGAUGCUGGAGCUCCCCUCACAAACUGCUAUGGAGUGCUGAAUAGCAGAAACUGGGAGCUUUAAAGCUUAAAGGGACAUUAGACGUCAUGUGACCCAUGCUGAGGAAGAAUCCAUGGCAAAAGCAGAAUCUGAACUCUGAUCUCCUAACCUCCUAUCCAUGCAGUCCGGAGUUUUUUGCCUUGUGCCACGAAGCCUUACUUCAAGCAUGUAGCAUCUGAUCUGGUCUUUAUUGUGGGUUCACUGCAUCUUAUUCUCCCCCAAAUCCUUAAGUGAGCAAGGCUGGAAAACCCAUUCCCCUCUGCCCGCACUCGCCUAACGUGUUUCCAGUCCUUUUAGCCCCAAGAGCUUUUGAGGUUUUAGACAUUUGCCCCUCGGGGCCAUCAGUACCACACACCCGGGGACGUGGAGUGGAGCUCGCAGUCCUUCCUAACGGCCUCCUGUCAGGGUCUUCUUGGCCGCGGCAACGAAGCAGCUCCGUAAGGCCUCGAACUCCUGCGCGCACAGAUCCUUUCUCAAGCGGCCGCCCGGGGCCAUGGACGCCUGCACGCACCUGCCGUAGGCCGCGGCCUCGGCCCCACAGGCCGCCAGGCGAUCGGGGAAGGCGCGGAGGCGGCUUCGCACGUGAUCCCACACCGCUCCGUUCCCCGACAUGAGCAGCUCUUCCUCACUUCAUUCCUUUUUACAGAUGAAUACUAUUUCAUUUUAGGGAUA
This is an RNA transcript of Eubalaena glacialis (North Atlantic right whale), 1110 nucleotides long. It is a transcript of the gene named collagen alpha-1(XVII) chain-like, with no coding region annotated. The transcript is spliced from 5 exons. Lineage: Eukaryota; Metazoa; Chordata; Mammalia; Artiodactyla; Balaenidae. The record is from RefSeq and is a predicted model, not a curated record.